This 57-nucleotide microRNA precursor is filed under the name Limulus polyphemus (Atlantic horseshoe crab). RNAcentral's name for it is "Lpo-Mir-10-P3o_pre stem-loop". The record is from RNAcentral. Lineage: Eukaryota; Metazoa; Arthropoda; Merostomata; Xiphosura; Limulidae.
UCCCUGAGACCCUAGCUUGUGAUAGUGUAAAGAUCACAUGCUAGACUCUCAGGCCUU